Scylla paramamosain (green mud crab) is the source of this 375-nucleotide long non-coding RNA. RefSeq lists it as uncharacterized. The record is from RefSeq and is a predicted model, not a curated record. The transcript has 2 exons. Lineage: Eukaryota; Metazoa; Arthropoda; Malacostraca; Decapoda; Portunidae.
GUUAGGCAGCAGCGGCCAGCUUGGCGCCACUCAGUCUUCUGGGUAGCCGCCUAGCUGUGAGGACGUGUCGGACCUUAGUUGACUCACCAGUAGAGACAUAAAGACGGUCCCUAUGUUUUUCAAGCACCCUUCAUGGCGCAUUUCAGGAUUGAGAACUGUCAGGAGAUCUGGAUGGAGCCUUGCAGCUCAUGGCAAGCUGCUCCUGCUGGUGAAGGAGUUCCUCAACAGGCUGCCCAGCAAGGUGAUGCAGCAGAGGAUAGCACAGCAAGAGACAAGUUUUGAUCUUCAGGAUCCACUAAGUAAACUCAUAAAUCAUUUUAUGUUAAUAAUUGAUCUAUAUGACAAGUUAUCAAAAUAUUACAUCUAAGUACAUUA